Podarcis lilfordi (Lilford's wall lizard) is the source of this 79-nucleotide non-coding RNA. NCBI's taxonomy places the organism in Eukaryota, Metazoa, Chordata, Lepidosauria, Squamata, Lacertidae. The record is from the annotation of a GenBank genome assembly.
GCUGUAUAGCUAAGUUGGUUAGAGCAUAGUGUUGAUAACACCAGGGUUGUAGGUUUGAUUCCCCUACAGUACAGUUGCA